This 441-nucleotide ribosomal RNA is filed under the name uncultured bacterium. Its description in RNAcentral is "bacterial SSU rRNA". It matches the Rfam family "Bacterial small subunit ribosomal RNA", at positions 28 to 507 of the family's 1533-position model. The record is from RNAcentral.
GAUGAACGCUGGCGGUAUGCCUAACACAUGCAAGUCGUACGAGAGUUUUUAACUCUAGUGGCGGACGGGUGAGUAACACGUGAGAAUUUGCCUUUAGGAGGGGGACAACAAUUGGAAACGAAUGCUAAUACCCCAUAUGCUUUUGAGUGAAAUGGAUUUUAUCCGCCUAGAGAGAAGCUCGCGGCUGAUUAGCUUGUUGGUAAGGUAAGAGCUUACCAAGGCGACGAUCAGUAUCUGGUUUGAGAGGACGAUCAGACACACUGGAACUGAGACACGGUCCAGACUCCUACGGGAGGCAGCAGUGGGGAAUUUUCCGCAAUGGGCGAAAGCCUGACGGAGCAAUACCGCGUGAGGGAAGAAUGCCUAUGGGUUGUAAACCUCUUUUUUCAGGGAGGAAUAAAAUGACGUGUACCUGAAGAAUAAGCAUCGGCUAACUCCGUG